CUGUUCCCUCAUGAUUCCACAUCAGCAUCCUCAAAAUUAUGCUCUUCAUCAAUUCAAUUCACGUUAAAAAUUUCAGCGGUUACUAUCUCCCCAUGUUCAAUGGAGGUUAAGAGAUUGGUCCAUAUUCUACCCUUUUAUUCUUCCAUUCAUUCACGUUCCCUAAAACCGCUGACGGUUACGAAAAUGCUUCAUCAUUCACAACCAUAACUUUCAAUCUUCCCCUUCAACCUUCUUCUACAGCGGUUUUACAAAUCUGUUUCUUUUUCAAGUGCAAAAACGAUCCCUCCUUUCUCUCUUCCUCCGUUCUUCCUCUUCUUUUCUCUCUCCAAUCUCCGACAACGAUUGUCGCUGAAAAGUGCAACAGGCGGCAGCAUCUUUUUGCAAUUUUAAUUAGUUUAUGUAAUUGAUGAUUUUGUGUGUUAUUUGUAGGUAAUUCUUCGGUUCUGAUCCGAUCUUCGACGCCAAAAGGAACAAAGAACCUCCCCUUUCCAUCAAAGAUGCCAACGAAAGGCGAUCAGCUAGCGUUGGUUGAAUAUUUUGGACCAUAAAAUACAGGAAGAAUAUCAACUAUAAAGCAGAGCAACAAUAAAAUACAGGAAGAAUCAAUCAGAUGCACAAUUCAAUUUUAUUUAGAUUCAAACACAAUAAAGCAGAGCAACAAUAAUUCGAGUGAAUUUUAUAGGGAAGGGUUCAAAAUAACUCAAUCCGAAAUUGGAAUUUCAUCACAAUGAAGAUGAAAUUCUCAAUUAGCAGUUUCCCUUGGUGAGGGUAUGCACUUAGCUUCUGCAGGUUCGAUGAUGAAGCACAAGUUUGCUUGGCCAUAAAAAAGAAAGGAUGGCAAUGAGAGAGAUUGAUCGGUUCUUUGUACUAUUUUGGUUUUGUUUAUGCUUUCAAUUUCAGGUGGCGG
Long non-coding RNA from Vicia villosa (hairy vetch), 907 nucleotides. RefSeq lists it as uncharacterized. The transcript has 4 exons. The record is from RefSeq and is a predicted model, not a curated record. Lineage: Eukaryota; Viridiplantae; Streptophyta; Magnoliopsida; Fabales; Fabaceae.